RNAcentral lists this small RNA (595 nucleotides) under bovine gut metagenome. The record is from RNAcentral.
CGUAAUUGAUGGCACAUUAUUCUAGUCAAUUACUUUAUUAUGAAGACGAGCUUAAAAAUUCGUUAAAAGGCAUAUCUGUGAAACCUUUGGUGUCUGCUUCUUACGCCCAGUUUGGGGUGGAUGCUGAAGAUGAGAAUCAUGGGAGAUUCAUAAUGGCAUAUGAAUUCGACCCAUUAUUCGUGGAGACCAAUUAUUGUGGUAAAUCUAUACGAACAACUUCUGAUGAUUUAUUACGGAAUUGGAUAUAAACCUGUAUUGUGGCGAAAACUAUGUACAGCGUAGCCUGUCUUGCGUGAAGAUUUUGGGAUAAAUGAUCUUUUUUAUUUAGGCGGCCACCUAUAAUAAAAAUUGCAUUUUGAAAUAAUCUUUGCAAAAAAGAAUUAAUAAUAAAGUGUUGGAGAGGAAAUCUCCUAGGGUGUAUUUCAAUAUAAGAUUGCAGUGGGCACUAAGUGGUAAUCAAGUCGUAUGUUUGGAAACAACAUAUUGAUUCUUUUAAAGGGGAACCGCUAAUCUGGUAACGGAUUUGUAAGAAUCAGGGAAAUCCUACUUGACCUAUGGCCCAAAGUUAAUUAUAUUGAAUGCCAAACAAUUUUAG